Molecule: ribosomal RNA, 2924 nt
Filed under: Enterobacter cloacae
Lineage: Bacteria; Pseudomonadati; Pseudomonadota; Gammaproteobacteria; Enterobacterales; Enterobacteriaceae
Description: 23S ribosomal RNA
Rfam family: Bacterial large subunit ribosomal RNA
Source: RNAcentral
GGGUUGUGAGGUUAAGCGACUAAGCGUACACGGUGGAUGCCCUGGCAGUCAGAGGCGAUGAAGGACGUGCUAAUCUGCGAAAAGCGCCGGCGAGGUGAUAUGAACCCUUGACCCGGCGAUGUCCGAAUGGGGAAACCCAGUGUGAUUCGUCACACUAUCGUUAACUGAAUACAUAGGUUAACGAGGCGAACCGGGGGAACUGAAACAUCUAAGUACCCCGAGGAAAAGAAAUCAACCGAGAUUCCCCCAGUAGCGGCGAGCGAACGGGGAGCAGCCCAGAGUCUGAAUCAGCUUGUGUGUUAGUGGAAGCGUCUGGAAAGUCGCACGGUACAGGGUGAAAGUCCCGUACACGAAAAUGCACAGGCUGUGAACUCGAAGAGUAGGGCGGGACACGUGGUAUCCUGUCUGAAUAUGGGGGGACCAUCCUCCAAGGCUAAAUACUCCUGACUGACCGAUAGUGAACCAGUACCGUGAGGGAAAGGCGAAAAGAACCCCGGCGAGGGGAGUGAAAAAGAACCUGAAACCGUGUACGUACAAGCAGUGGGAGCACCUUCGUGGUGUGACUGCGUACCUUUUGUAUAAUGGGUCAGCGACUUAUAUUCUGUAGCAAGGUUAACCGUAUAGGGGAGCCGAAGGGAAACCGAGUCUUAACUGGGCGUUAAGUUGCAGGGUAUAGACCCGAAACCCGGUGAUCUAGCCAUGGGCAGGUUGAAGGUUGGGUAACACUAACUGGAGGACCGAACCGACUAAUGUUGAAAAAUUAGCGGAUGACCUGUGGCUGGGGGUGAAAGGCCAAUCAAACCGGGAGAUAGCUGGUUCUCCCCGAAAGCUAUUUAGGUAGCGCCUCGUGAACUCAUCUUCGGGGGUAGAGCACUGUUUCGGCUAGGGGCCAUCCCGGCUUACCAACCCGAUGCAAACUACGAAUACCGAAGAAUGUUAUCACGGGAGACACACGGCGGGUGCUAACGUCCGUCGUGAAGAGGGAAACAACCCAGACCGCCAGCUAAGGUCCCAAAGUCAUGGUUAAGUGGGAAACGAUGUGGGAAGGCCCAGACAGCCAGGAUGUUGGCUUAGAAGCAGCCAUCAUUUAAAGAAAGCGUAAUAGCUCACUGGUCGAGUCGGCCUGCGCGGAAGAUGUAACGGGGCUAAACCAUGCACCGAAGCUGCGGCAGCGACGCUUAUGCGUUGUUGGGUAGGGGAGCGUUCUGUAAGCCGUUGAAGGUGGCCUGUGAGGGUUGCUGGAGGUAUCAGAAGUGCGAAUGCUGACAUAAGUAACGAUAAAGCGGGUGAAAAGCCCGCUCGCCGGAAGACCAAGGGUUCCUGUCCAACGUUAAUCGGGGCAGGGUGAGUCGACCCCUAAGGCGAGGCCGAAAGGCGUAGUCGAUGGGAAACAGGUUAAUAUUCCUGUACUUGGUGUUACUGCGAAGGGGGACGGAGAAGGCUAUGUUAGCCGGGCGACGGUUGUCCCGGUUUAAGCAUGUAGGCGGAGGUUCCAGGUAAAUCCGGUACCUUUUAACGCUGAGGUGUGAUGACGAGGCACUACGGUGCUGAAGUAACAAAUGCCCUGCUUCCAGGAAAAGCCUCUAAGCAUCAGGUAACACGAAAUCGUACCCCAAACCGACACAGGUGGUCAGGUAGAGAAUACCAAGGCGCUUGAGAGAACUCGGGUGAAGGAACUAGGCAAAAUGGUGCCGUAACUUCGGGAGAAGGCACGCUGAUAUGUAGGUGAAGCCCCUGCGGGUGGAGCUGAAAUCAGUCGAAGAUACCAGCUGGCUGCAACUGUUUAUUAAAAACACAGCACUGUGCAAACACGAAAGUGGACGUAUACGGUGUGACGCCUGCCCGGUGCCGGAAGGUUAAUUGAUGGGGUUAGCGGUAACGCGAAGCUCUUGAUCGAAGCCCCGGUAAACGGCGGCCGUAACUAUAACGGUCCUAAGGUAGCGAAAUUCCUUGUCGGGUAAGUUCCGACCUGCACGAAUGGCGUAAUGAUGGCCAGGCUGUCUCCACCCGAGACUCAGUGAAAUUGAACUCGCUGUGAAGAUGCAGUGUACCCGCGGCAAGACGGAAAGACCCCGUGAACCUUUACUAUAGCUUGACACUGAACACUGGUCCUUGAUGUGUAGGAUAGGUGGGAGGCUUUGAAGCGUGGACGCCAGUCUGCGUGGAGCCAUCCUUGAAAUACCACCCUUUAAUGGCUGGUGUUCUAACGUAGACCCGUAAUCCGGGUUGCGGACAGUGUCUGGUGGGUAGUUUGACUGGGGCGGUCUCCUCCCAAAGAGUAACGGAGGAGCACGAAGGUUAGCUAAUCCUGGUCGGACAUCAGGAGGUUAGUGCAAUGGCAUAAGCUAGCUUGACUGCGAGAGUGACGGCUCGAGCAGGUGCGAAAGCAGGUCAUAGUGAUCCGGUGGUUCUGAAUGGAAGGGCCAUCGCUCAACGGAUAAAAGGUACUCCGGGGAUAACAGGCUGAUACCGCCCAAGAGUUCAUAUCGACGGCGGUGUUUGGCACCUCGAUGUCGGCUCAUCACAUCCUGGGGCUGAAGUAGGUCCCAAGGGUAUGGCUGUUCGCCAUUUAAAGUGGUACGCGAGCUGGGUUUAGAACGUCGUGAGACAGUUCGGUCCCUAUCUGCCGUGGGCGCUGGAGAAUUGAGGGGGGCUGCUCCUAGUACGAGAGGACCGGAGUGGACGCAUCACUGGUGUUCGGGUUGUCAUGCCAAUGGCACUGCCCGGUAGCUAAAUGCGGAAGAGAUAAGUGCUGAAAGCAUCUAAGCACGAAACUUGCCCCGAGAUGAGUUCUCCCUGAGACUUAAAGUCUCCUGAAGGAACGUUAAAGACGAUGACGUUGAUAGGUCGGGUGUGUAAGCGCAGCGAUGCGUUGAGCUAACCGAUACUAAUGAACCGUGAGGCUUAACCUUACAACGCCGAAG